This is a small nucleolar RNA of Callithrix jacchus (white-tufted-ear marmoset), 133 nucleotides long. The record is from Ensembl. NCBI's taxonomy places the organism in Eukaryota, Metazoa, Chordata, Mammalia, Primates, Cebidae.
GGCCACUCAGCUCCGCUUAAUCACACAGGUCCACUGUGUGCGUGGCUUGUUUUCUGGGAGGCAGAGGAAGGCUCUUCUAAUGCACAACGGACCCUCCCAGGAUGGCCUUUCCAUUCCUAGGAGUAUGACAGCU